UCUUAUCCAAAUCCGCUUGACAAGAAUAGGGUAGAGUGCAAAUUUUGUAAAAAAUCAUCUACUGUUGGCAUCAUCAAAUUGAAAAACCUUUGGCUAGCAUUAGAGGGGAUGUGGCCCUAUGCACUCUAGUGCCAGCUGAUUCUAGGAGAGAGAUGAUAGAGCACUUGGAGGCGGUGAAAAGCAAGAGAGAGGAGGUGAGAAAAAGCCAUUAUGUUUUAAAGAGUGUAGACAUUUUUGGCGUUCAAGGAGAGGAAGAAGGCGUUUAUACUGAGGUUGGAUCUUCUAGUAGGCCGAAAAGAAGAGGUCAUAUGUAUGCGUUCUUCCUUCGCCCUGAGCUUGAGAUUCUUCCACAAGAAAAGGGUCAAACAAGUUUAAAGACCUAUUUUAAAAAAGAAGAUAGAGAUAAGGUGGCCCAAUAUGUGGCCAGGUGGUUCUUCCAAGCUGGCAUUUCUUUUAAUGCUGCUAACUUGAGUAGCUUCCAGAUUAUGUUGGAAGCAGUUAGCCAGUUUGGGCUAGGUUUUAAGGCUCCAUCUGCUUAUGAGCUUAAAGGGUCAUUACUUAAUAACGAAGUGGAGCUAACGAAUAACUAUUUGAGGACCCACUGGGAUGUGUGAGGUGUAUAUGGUUGCACAGUCAUAAUUGAUAGUUGGAGUGAUAAGAGGAGCAUAAGCAUUAUAAAUUUGAUGGUGAAUUGUCCAUUAAGGAUAAUGUUCUUGAGGUUUAUUGAUGCUUCUGACAAGUCCUUUGAUGCAAAAUUCAUUUUUAAUUUGGUGGACCAAUGCCUAAAGGAGAUAGGGGACGAGCAAGUGGUCCAAGUAGUGAUUGAUAUGUUCCUAGCUAAUUUUGACGGCCGUUAGGUUAUUGAUAGGUCGCUUAUUUUGUGGUCCCCUUGUGUAACAUACUGCAUAGACCUUAUUCUUGAGGCCAUUGGUAAGAAGAAAACAUUCAAGACAACCAUCCAAAAGGUGAAGAAUGUCAAAGUUUAUUUAUACAGUCACACUCAGGUCUUAGCCAUGAUGAAGAAAUUUACCAAUGACAGAGACUUGGUGAGGCCUGGGGUGACUAGAUUUGCCACCUCCUACUUACCCUUGUAAUCUUUAUAUGAGCAGACGAAAAAGUUGAGGUCCAUGUUUGUAUCUGAGGAUUGGACCAAGUUCAAGUGGUCUAGGUACGUUGUUGAAAAAGUUGUUAUGGAUAUUGUUAUGGACUCCAGAUAUUGGAACAAGGUCCAAUAUGCCUUGUACGACUUUUGCCCUUUGGUAAAGGUUCUCAAGAUGGUUGAUGCUGAGUAGAAACCAGCUAUGGGGUAUAUCUAUAAAGCGAUGUAGGAUGCAAAGGAAGAAAUCAACAAAAUUUUUGGGCAUGAUGAAAAGAAGUAUGAGGAUUGUUUGAAGAUUAUUUGAAGAUAAAUGAAACUACCAGCUUGAGAGGCCCCUACACUCAGCAGGAUACUGCAUUAACCUUCCUCACUUCUACACAUAUCUUGAGUUACAUAGCAGGCCUGAGUUCAUGGAUGCAUUCAACCUAUGCAAUUUAAAGCCCAACCUUUAUCCUGAAGUGAAGGAUAAGGUAAUGAUGGAGCUAGAUUUGUAUAGGCUCGCUACUGGGUUUGUUAAGGAUGUGGCAGUCAGGCAGUGGUCUAAGAUCCUUUUUGGUCCAUGGGGGAAGCACCCCUCAUUUGCGGUAGAUGGCCAUGAAAAUACUUAAUUUGACUUGCAACUCGUCUGGAUGUGCAUACAACGAAGAGGAACAGACUAGAGCAUAAGUGAUUGAACGACCUAGUCUUUGUUCAGUAUGAUCAGAAGUUGCAAGAGCGCCAUUGAUAGCAGGAGCACAAUGAAAGGGAAGCUAUUGAAGCUGUUGAUAUUGAUGACACGUGAGUGGCUAGUUUAUGCCGGUGAUGAUGAGGUAUUCCCUGGAGAAGGCUUGACCUGAGGCCAGGUUUGUGAGGCUGUUCGGAUGGCAAUGCCCCUUGUGCGUACUACUUGGGCUCAAUCUCAAAGCCAAAGGAAGGGGAAGGAGAGGGCCAAGCAAGGGAAGGCAAUGGCGAAGAAGAGGAAGAGGGUAAUGAGAUCAAGAGAGGAGGAUGAACAAGAAGAAGCAUAUUCGGAGGAGAUGAGGGAUGACACUCAAUAUGUUGAGGAGGGCCUCUGAUGAUGAUGACAUGGCAUUAUCAUCAUCUGAUGCUCCUUUGGAUCCACUUAAACACCCUGCGUGGUGAUGCCAUAGAGUUGUUUGGUUGACAUUAGAGAAUUAGGGUGGUGACAUGUCACAUGUAUUUGUUUUUGUUUUUGCCUGUUGACUUUGUAUAUUAUUUCUAGACUUCUAGUUUUCUACAACGAUAUUUGGGAUUUCGAGCAUUUUGAUGUCUUACAAUCUCUUUGAGUCUUUGUAUCCGUAAACGUGUUUUGUGACUGUAAUAUUAUGUUUUCUCUUUUUCACAAGGGGUUUGGGGCUCAAAAAUUGCCUUAAAAACCCCCCAAGGCCUAAACCCUGCCCUAAGAACUCCCUUGUCCUUUUUGUUUUAGGGUGGGGGUUUGUUUUGGGGUUGGGGGGGGGAUCCCCUAUUCCUGGGAGGACGCCUAGGCGGCA
This is a long non-coding RNA of Amborella trichopoda, 2592 nucleotides long. RefSeq lists it as uncharacterized. Lineage: Eukaryota; Viridiplantae; Streptophyta; Magnoliopsida; Amborellales; Amborellaceae. The record is from RefSeq and is a predicted model, not a curated record.